GGCGGUUCUCAGGUGAUGUACCCUGGAAUCGGGCUCCCUCCUCUCUGGUUCCAGGUGCGUCAUCAGAGAACCACA
Non-coding RNA from Myotis brandtii (Brandt's bat), 75 nucleotides. The record is from Rfam. NCBI's taxonomy places the organism in Eukaryota, Metazoa, Chordata, Mammalia, Chiroptera, Vespertilionidae.